This 318-nucleotide ribosomal RNA is filed under the name Triticum aestivum (bread wheat). RNAcentral's name for it is "partial small subunit ribosomal RNA". The record is from RNAcentral. Lineage: Eukaryota; Viridiplantae; Streptophyta; Magnoliopsida; Poales; Poaceae.
AUGUCUAAUGUUUUUUCGCCUGGGGAAUUAAUCGGACUAUUGCGAGCGGAACGAGCAGGGCGAGCUUUGGAUGAAUCGAUCUAUUAUCGGGCAAUCUUAUUGGGAAUAACAAGGGCUUCCCUGAAUACCCAAAGUUUCAUAUCUGAAGCAAGUUUUCAAGAAACUGCUCGAGUUUUAGCAAAAGCUGCCCUACGAGGUCGCAUUGAUUGGUUGAAAGGCUUGAAAGAAAACGUAGUUCUGGGGGGGAUUAUACCUGUUGGUACCGGAUUCCAAAAAUUUGUGCAUCGUUCCCCACAAGACAAGAACCUUUAUUUCUAA